UGGGUCGAUGUCCGAGUGGUUAAUGGGAACGGACUGUAAAUUCGUUGACGAAAUGUCUACGCUGGUUCAAAUCCAGCUCGGCCCAA
RNAcentral lists this transfer RNA (86 nucleotides) under Rhizanthella gardneri. RNAcentral describes it as "tRNA-Tyr". It matches the Rfam family "tRNA". Rfam says of the family: Transfer RNA (tRNA) molecules are approximately 80 nucleotides in length. Their secondary structure includes four short double-helical elements and three loops (D, anti-codon, and T loops). Further hydrogen bonds mediate the characteristic L-shaped molecular structure. tRNAs have two regions of fundamental functional importance: the anti-codon, which is responsible for specific mRNA codon recognition, and the 3' end, to which the tRNAs corresponding amino acid is attached (by aminoacyl-tRNA synthetases). tRNAs cope with the degeneracy of the genetic code in two manners: having more than one tRNA (with a specific anti-codon) for a particular amino acid; and 'wobble' base-pairing, i.e. permitting non-standard base-pairing at the 3rd anti-codon position. The record is from RNAcentral. Lineage: Eukaryota; Viridiplantae; Streptophyta; Magnoliopsida; Asparagales; Orchidaceae.